This 85-nucleotide transfer RNA is filed under the name Felis catus (domestic cat). It matches the Rfam family "tRNA". Rfam says of the family: Transfer RNA (tRNA) molecules are approximately 80 nucleotides in length. Their secondary structure includes four short double-helical elements and three loops (D, anti-codon, and T loops). Further hydrogen bonds mediate the characteristic L-shaped molecular structure. tRNAs have two regions of fundamental functional importance: the anti-codon, which is responsible for specific mRNA codon recognition, and the 3' end, to which the tRNAs corresponding amino acid is attached (by aminoacyl-tRNA synthetases). tRNAs cope with the degeneracy of the genetic code in two manners: having more than one tRNA (with a specific anti-codon) for a particular amino acid; and 'wobble' base-pairing, i.e. permitting non-standard base-pairing at the 3rd anti-codon position. Lineage: Eukaryota; Metazoa; Chordata; Mammalia; Carnivora; Felidae. The record is from Rfam by way of RNAcentral.
GCCUGGGUAGCUCAGUCGGUUGAGUGUCUGACUUCGGCUCAGGUCAUGAUCUCACAGCUCGUGAGUUCGAGCCCCACAUUGGGCU